This is a long non-coding RNA of Aquila chrysaetos chrysaetos, 4004 nucleotides long. RefSeq lists it as uncharacterized. The record is from RefSeq and is a predicted model, not a curated record. Lineage: Eukaryota; Metazoa; Chordata; Aves; Accipitriformes; Accipitridae. The transcript has 3 exons.
AUCCUUAAUCUAACUGAUGAGGAAGGCAAUACAAAAAUCCCAAUUUUGAUUGCCCCUGGGAUGGCAUGGAGCAAAUGCUGCACAAGCCACAGUGUCCCCCCAUAACUGCUGCCUGCAGAAGGAACAGCUUUCUCAAAGCGUUUUAACCAAAGACGUCCCAUCUCAAAUUUGGCCAACAAUUACUUUGUGAUGUGGAAACCCUGAGGCCAGCCUUCAUCAGUGGAGAGUUUUUCCGGGAAAGAACUGCAACGCUGAUUGUGAAGGUUCUUACUUUACCCUUAAAAAUGCCUCCUCCGUAUAUUAAUCUUCCCGUUGCACGCUGAUAUAAGCCGGUGACUGACUGCCCGGGAUGGAGGGGGAAGUCCCCCCAGUGCCCGGUUUUGCGCAGUGCUGUGAUGGGGAUGUUGCAGAGUCUUCUGAAAGCUGCCGGCGGGGGACAUACUGCGGGGCUGGGCUUGGACAAGCUCAACAGCUCCUGUGUAAAUGACCUUGAGCCAAACCUCCCUCUCACGCACACAGCCGGGUAGGAAAAAAGAUGUGUAGCACGCUGGAUGUGGAAAUUAGCCAGCAGCCCCUCCGAGCGUGAGAGUAGGGCUGGGUGAGCAGAGAUGCUCCCUUUGGUAAAGCAGAGCAAGACCUCUUAGCUGGACCGUGGCCACAGACACCAGCUCCCGGGGCUCAUGAAACCCGCUCUGUGCCAGCUGCCCCAUGGGGAUGCUGGUGCUGGGACGGUGAACGAGGAGCUCCAGCCAUGCCCACAGGCAGGGAGCAAGCGGGGAUGCCCAGCUGUGCCAGCAGCGUGGUGCCCGGCCAAUGCAAUUCCCAAGAGAUGGCUUAAAAUCAAAGAUAAUUCAGAGGUUACGGACCUUGGGAAUGGGCUGAAUAAUAUUACUGCCAAAGGGAGCAGCCACAGAACUCUGACCAACGCUUCCUUACGCCGUUUCUCCCAAUGCAUUACUUCCACUAUGGCAAUCCACUUAAAGGUGCUGCUGCUUCCCAUCGUUUCUCCAUCCUUAUUUAUUUUGAACAUUGCUUAAUGUUUAUCUUACUGUCCCACUGCCCUUCCGCUUUUACUCUUCCUCCUCAUACAGUCUCUGAAUUUUGUUUGUCCUUGGCAAGCCGUGUUUGAAAGCCCACGCGUGCAUCCCGGUCCGUCCGUGCUGCUCAUCACGUUCCUCCGGAGCACCGCGGAGCCUUCGGCCGGACUUGCCGCCAGCCCGGCUCUUUCCUCCUCCUGGCCCGGCGGGGACCAGCAAUGCCCGUGAACAGGUUGUCAGAGGUGAAACCCAAACUUUUAUGCAAUCUCUGUAAGUGUUAAUGAACCUCGUAAAGCAAAUGCUCACCGAAGUAUAUCGAGUCCCAGCUGUUCUCCCCAGGGAUGAUAACCUGGCAGAAAUUGCACGCUAUUUGCUGAAAGAUUCUUCAGUUUCUGGAGCUGGCACAGAUAUAGAGGAGAUGGCUGCAAAGGGAGAUGCUUGCAAAGGGACUGCUACCCCUGGAGAACUAGGAUCCUUCCAACAUGGUGGUGUUUCCUUUUAAAAAUUGUUUUCUUUUUUUUUUUCUUUUUUCUUUUUUUCUUUUAAACCCCCAUGCCUGGUCACUGCCCCUAAUCCCCCUGUAGUAUUCUUUUUGAUUUUCAGAAAGGGAACACAGUUUUAUCCAGGGCACCCACCGGAGACGUGUAUUCCCCAUAGUCAGAUUUGUGAACUGGUUUGUGAGUCUUUCCUAGGGCAGAAUCAGGUUUCCAGUAGUGAAUCUCAAGUGCGCUUCUGGAGAAAUUCAGAAUUUUUUUCUCUCCCUUGAUUUACUAGUGCUGACAUAAACACCAUAGCUGAUAUUUUGGAAGUGAUCAUAGAGAGCACUCGCAGCUGAGCUGAGCUGAAGGGCAAGGAUAAUAUCUAUUGCAGCAGAAGAUGCAUUCACCGGCUACCAGGUGCAGAUGGCAAGCCCUAGGGCAACAGCAAAACCAAAGAUAGAGGAACGGGGUGAAAUGAAAAGGAAAAAAAACUCUCUCUUUUGUAGUUGAUUACUGAAAUGCUAAGGCUAAGCAACUUCUCUGAGUUAGUUAUUAAUAAUCUACAAAUGACAUUAAGUUUGCAUUGCUAGCCUGACUGCUUGUCUUGGUGAGUAUCUGUUGUGUAAGCUAAGAAGGACGUCUUUAUUCGGGAUUGUGCUAUAGGAAAGAGGUAGGGUUGUGCUCUUACAAGCCACCCACUAGUUUCACCCUUCAAACAAAUAAUUUUCAUGAUUCACUGUAAUACUUAAGACAAUAGGAAGCCCUUUAGUUCUCAGAGGAAAAAAAUGUUACAGCUUUAUAUAACAAUUUUUUGGUAUUACAAAAGAUCUACUGUCAUCAGUUACUUAUUCAUAGUUAUGAAUUGCUGCUGUUGUCAUUUUUACAUUGCACAUUGCUAUAAAAAGAGAAGAUACAGCAUUUCUUUCAGUUUUUGUUUUGUUUUAGUAAAUUGCGAAUUGUGAUUUAAGUUUCUGCAUUCAGGUUUAUUUCUGUCUCCCAGUGGGAUAAUAUAAUCAACAAUACCUACUAUUGCUUUCAUUUUUAAGAGAGGAUGGAUGAACCAGCUCUCCUGUAUGUCCUGUAUGAAGUUAAAUUAAAUACAUAUUUUGAUCGUUCCUUUUUUCUUUAGUAGCAAAUGGAUAUUAUUUAGUACCAGAGCUGAAGAUGAAAAAUCGCAAAGGUGAGUAACUGUUCAAAUUCCCAGACAAUAAAUUAAUGAAUACCCUUUAAAUGAGGUGAAUUCUAAUCUUUCUCCUGCGUAUCGAGUGCCCCUGGACUAUUUGUGAGACAGAAAAGGGCACCUAGCUCCUUCGUCUUAUGAAAUCUUAUGUAAUAACUGGCGGGGGAUCACUGAAUGGGCUUUAACACAUCUUGUAUGCGUUUGAUAGCCCAUAUGUUUAAAAUUUGCUCAUGUAGCCAUAUGCUGAAAACUUCCCCAAAUGCUACUUUUUCUUAUUUUGGGGCUGUUUUGAAGUUCUAAGAAAAUGACAGUCUAAUGGUGUGACCCCAGCUACUCCAGACUGUGCCAAACAUAUUGUAGCCAGUUACUCCGUGGUGACCCUAAACACAUGGAAAGCGUAGGAGUGAACAUUAAUAGCAGAGAGAUGCUUGGCAAGUGACUGCAGGGAGGAAAAUGAAGAAAAGUGUUUGGGAGAUGCUGUGACUAUUAUCUCUUAAGUGAAUCAAGGCUUCCUGCUUCUUUUCCUGUUAUUAUCCUUGUUUCUGCAUGUUUUCUGAGCCACUCCCUUUGCUGGGUAUUCAGAGGGGCUAGGCUUAGCCUAGCGAGUCUGGUUUUGCCUGCCCGCCUCUGUAGUGAGUGGAGACAGAGAGGUUCCUGAAGUGGGUGAUUCGUGCUGGCCAUUCAGUGAGUAUGGAGGUUGGCUGAAAAGACUGGGUUAUGGGGCUAAUGCUGGCCUGAAUGACUACCUGCCUUAAUCGUCUUGCCCUUCGGUUUGCUCGGAUGUUUGGUUGUAUCAAUGGCCUUGCAAGAAAGCAAGGUGCGAGAGUAGCCUGCAAACAUCGUCGUGUUUUCUUUCCACUACUAUUUCAAGGAUGUGAGGAGUGGUAGUAGUGCAAUUUGGUAUGAAACAGUGAGCCCACACCAAGGUUUUUUUGGUCCUUUUAUGGUAACAGCUCCAUAUCAAACCAUGACUAUGUAAAAAAGCCUUACGUAGCUGAUGCAGUGUAGCUCCAACUCCCAGUACCACCAGCUCCUGGCAAUGGGCAUUGCUCAACACCUUAAAAUAGUUGCUUGGGCAGUCCCUGCCAUGCCCAAAGCUGUUGUGACCUCAAGGUCUUCUUGCUUGCAUGUUGGCUCAUCUGCUUCCCACCCAGGCGGUUUAUCAGUGAAGAGAUGCAUCGCUGUUUCUGCAGGCAGCUAACUUCUCAUCAAUCACUGCUCAGCACCAGAAGAAGUAGAGUGGAGCCGAGGCCUCUUGGCUUCCCUUUGGUUUCUGCGUUAGUGGAAUAGAGAAAGUGUUCCCAUAGC